Molecule: ribosomal RNA, 386 nt
Filed under: uncultured bacterium
Lineage: Bacteria
Description: bacterial SSU rRNA
Rfam family: Bacterial small subunit ribosomal RNA
Source: RNAcentral
AUUGAACGCUGGCGGCAUGCCUUACACAUGCAAGUCGAACGGCAGCACGGACUUCGGUCUGGUGGCGAGUGGCGAACGGGUGAGUAAUGCAUCGGAAUGUGCCAUUGAGUGGGGGGAUAACGUAGCGAAAGUUGCGCUAAUACCGCAUAUUCUGUGAGCAGGAAAGCAGGGGGACCGCAAGGCCUUGCGCUCUUUGAGCGGCCGAUGUCAGAUUAGCUAGUUGGUGAGGUAAAGGCUUACCAAGGCGACGAUCUGUAGCGGGUCUGAGAGGAUGAUCCGCCACACUGGAACUGAGACACGGUCCAGACUCCUACGGGAGGCAGCAGUGGGGAAUUUUGGACAAUGGGGGCAACCCUGAUCCAGCCAUGCCGCGUGAGUGAAGAAGG